Molecule: ribosomal RNA, 253 nt
Filed under: uncultured bacterium
Lineage: Bacteria
Description: partial 16S ribosomal RNA
Rfam family: Bacterial small subunit ribosomal RNA
Source: RNAcentral
GACAGAGGUGCCGAGCGUUAGGCGGAAUCACUGGGCUUAAAGCGUGUGUAGGCGGGUCCGUAAGUACCUUGUGAAAUCCCACGGCUCAACCGUGGAACUGCUUGGUAUACUGCGGGUCUUGAGCCACUUAGGGGCAAGCGGAACAAACGGUGGAGCGGUGAAAUGCGUAGAUAUCGUUUGGAACGCCAAUGGUGAAAACAGCUUGCUGGGAGUGUGCUGACGCUGAGACACGAAAGCCAGGGGAGCAAACGGG